Molecule: long non-coding RNA, 946 nt
Organism: Mya arenaria
Lineage: Eukaryota; Metazoa; Mollusca; Bivalvia; Myida; Myidae
Exons: 4
Source: RefSeq, a predicted model, not a curated record
UCAGACACAGACCUUUGGGGUAACAUUAAUGACAAGAAGGACGAACGCAAGAAGAAAAGAUCAGACACAGACAUUUGGGGUAACAUGAAUGACAAUAAGGACGAACGCAAGAAAAAAAGAUCAGACACAGACCUUUGGGGUAACAUUAAUGACAAGAAGGACGAACGCAAGAAGAAAAGAUCAGCCAAAUCCAAUCGACAUUACCGAAUGGAAUAUUUAAGUGAUGAUGAACUGUGAUUCAAAGCAGUUGAUAUGUGGUUAGAGUGUGUUUGUUUCUUAAUGUAUUGACAUGUAUUUCAAAAUUUAAAUCAGAUGUCUGUUAUUGAGCUUUUAGUUAAGCCAUCGCUUAUUCUAUUUUUUGUACGCAUUUAUAAAAAGUUUUUUUUUGCGACCCAUUUCCUGUUUGUUUUAUGUAUACAAUAUACUGUAAACAUGAUUUAUGUCGAACUCAAAACUUAUAAUUUUCUAAACAGUAACAUGUAACAACAUAGUUAUAAUAUAAACUUAUUUUUUUUUGAAAUAUGAAUUUAAUGAAGUGUUGUUUAUUUCUAUAUAACACUACUUUUAUUGUACUUAUUUGUAUAGCAUGAAAUGAAUUUUGUAUGUCCGUCUUUUUAAAAGACCAGGUCGCUGUAUUCGCAAAACGUGCAAUAGUUUUAUGAUAUAUUGUAUUUUCAGAUGAUGUCUUACAUUGUUUCUUAAAACAAUUUAAGAUUAAAUUUUAGUCUUUAUCCUAAAAACAAAUCUAGCUAUUCAAUUUUAGAAUGGACAUGUUUGGUGAGGUUCUUGACAUCUCCAUUAUAUCAUUGUUAUAUAUCAGGCAGCGUCGCACUCUAAUGAACAUUCUCUGAUACUGAAACUUUCAUAAUAUACUAAUUACACACACAAAUAUAUUAUAUAAAGCAUGUUUAUUUAUUCUGCAAAAUAAAAAAUGGUUAUAGUUUUA